This 405-nucleotide ribosomal RNA is filed under the name uncultured bacterium. RNAcentral's name for it is "bacterial SSU rRNA". It matches the Rfam family "Bacterial small subunit ribosomal RNA", at positions 28 to 421 of the family's 1533-position model. The record is from RNAcentral.
GACGAACGCUGGCGGCGUGCUUAACACAUGCAAGUCGAGCGGUAAGGCCCUUUCGGGGUACGACGAGCGGCGAACGGGUGAGUAACACGUGGGUGGACCUGCCCUCCAGCUCUGGGAGUAAGCCUCGGGAAACCGGGGUACGUAAUAACCGGAUAUGACUCCAUGACGCAUGUUGUGGGGUGGAAAGCCUUGUGCGGCUGAGGAUGGGCCCGGCGGCCUAUCAGCUUGUUGGUGGGGUGAUGGCCUACCAAGGCGACGACGGGUAGCCGGCCUGAGAGGGCGACCGGCCACACUGGGGACUGAGACACGGCCCAGACUCCUACGGGGAGGCAGCAGUGGGGGAAUCUUGCGCAAUGGGGCGAAAGCCUGACGCAGCGACGCCGCGUGAGGGAUGACGGCCUGGUG